This is a long non-coding RNA of Astatotilapia calliptera (eastern happy), 1994 nucleotides long. The record is from Ensembl. NCBI's taxonomy places the organism in Eukaryota, Metazoa, Chordata, Actinopteri, Cichliformes, Cichlidae.
AAUAAAUGGAAAUCUUAACGCUAUAACAUGGAGGGAUUUUAGAAUUUGUGGCAAUGGAUUGGAGCCUUUUCUUUCCCCCGUUUUCCUUUCCAAUAUGACAAAGGUCCAAAGUCUUGUGGUGUGUAGGUGUCCGCAUCAAAUUUCCCCCUUUUCACUGCGGUUAUUGCAAUUGUGGGUGCCUGUCACAAUCACGUCGUCCGUCAUGAAUUCAAGAAAAGGUUAAGUAUGCUUCAUAUUAUAAUAAGUUCACUUAAAGAAAAAAUUUGACAUUUUAAGUGAUUCAUUUAUUUGCUUUGUGGUGAAGAUUUAAGUGGGGCAGCCUUUGCUCUCUGGAAACAGAAAUUCAGCUAACUUUAGUUUUCUCAUAUGUUUUCAGCAGAACCAGGCAUAGGGUCACCUUAUCCAGCCAUAACUCUGAGCUACAUCAUAAAGGAAAGUUUGAAGCCUAAUCUUAAAAGUAGAGAGAGUGUUUUUCUCCCCAUCAGAGUUUGGUGGAUUUUGUUUGUUUCCUUUCCAUUUUGAUUGUCUGUCCCAUCCAUCUUUGGUUUGAUUUCCAUGUAGUUUCCAAGUUUGAACAGUUUUUCUGCUCGUCCACUUGUGGUUUUCUGUGUUUAUGCCCUGUGUUUGCUGCAAGCUCCAGUGCCAAGGUUCCUCAUCCCUACUUUGGUUGUCUUGUGGUACACCUCACUGAGUUCUGUGUUUUCUUGGACUCCUUGCCUCCCUGCCACUUUGCCCUGCAUUUGGGUAAUCCUUUGAACUCUAACAUGUCACUUUUUUACAAAUCUUCUGCAUUUGCAGUAACACUCUGUGUCUCUCCGAGCACAGGCAAGAGUCUGAUUGGUAUCAUAUAUGUUACUAGAAAGUGUUUUGAUUGUAGAUUAGACAGCAUUUGGAGACCUGGAGAUUUAACCUACCACUGGCUUAUUAUACCUCUGCUAAUUAAAACUUUAAGGUUAAAUAUAAUUUAAACAGGCAACCUUUAUGAAAAUCUAAACCCUACAAGGUUGUAAUGAAAGGGGAAAUUAUGUUUAGAGAGCUAAAACAUUUUUGUUCCAUGCUGUAACACGUUCAUUUCUUCUGUAAAUUUGGGAGUUUUAAUAUUUACUUACUUGUGAUGCGAGCUUUAAGUGGCCAUUAAAAGAACUGCAGUUUUUUGGCACCUAUGCACUGGUGCUUUGCCAAGAUGUGGCGAAAAUAUGCCUCAUCCCGGCUGCUUUAUCUCUUUUCUUUACCCACAGACAACAUUAAGCAACAUAAAGAUCUGUUUAAGAAAAAAUCUUUAUAGUAAAAAAUCUUCAGAGUGAGUUUAAGCCAACAAAAGAAAGACAGUUCAAGUGAAUAACAGUGAUCAAGACACCAAAGUGCCGUAACAAUAGCAGUCAAUGUGGGUUCUGUUCUGGUGCCUAACUCAAGGAAUAACCCAGUGUUGUGUCUACACAUGACAGACAAUUGAGCAAAGAACCAGUUUUAAAUUAGAUCCUUAGGUACAUUUUACAGGCAGACGGUGACAAAAACUCCUAAUUUGUUUCCCUUUCUUUAGUUGAAUCUAAAAAAAAAGGAUUUUGACAGGCAAAAAAUUGUAUUUUUGCAACAAGAAGGUGAUUCCCAAAAAACUGAAAACUUGGCAAAUGUCAGCAUCGUGUGCAAAAGACAGGAAAAGAAAUACCCCCCAAAGACCUGACACAGGACCUGAGAGACGCAUCUGGCUCUUCAGCGGACCAUUUACUGUUAAAAAAGGGUCUCAGUGGAAGGGUGGCUGUCAAGAAGCCAUUCUUAAGGAGGGGAAACGGGGAGAAAAGGCUGAGGUGUGCCAAAUUACACAAGAACUGGACUGAAAAUCAGUGAGAGAGCGAUGCAUGUUUUUGGUUCAAAUCAUCAUCGGUUUGUACACAGAAGGUCAGGGCAGAGGUGCUGCAAAUUACAAGAAAUCUGCCUAAGAGAGUUCAGGCUGUGUUGAAGAAUAAAGGUGGUCUGACCAAAUAUUGACGUUCAAG